This 376-nucleotide ribosomal RNA is filed under the name uncultured bacterium. Its description in RNAcentral is "bacterial SSU rRNA". It matches the Rfam family "Bacterial small subunit ribosomal RNA", at positions 521 to 896 of the family's 1533-position model. The record is from RNAcentral.
UAAGACGAACCGUGCGAACGUUGUUCGGAAUCACUGGGCUUAAAGGGCGCGUAGGCGGGUUUGCAAGUCUGCGGUGAAAGCCUCCAGCUUAACUGGAGAAGUGCCGUGGAUACUGCGAAUCUCGAGGAGGGUAGGGGCAUCUGGAACGUUGGGUGGAGCGGUGAAAUGCGUUGAUAUCCAACGGAACUCCGGUGGCGAAGGCGAGGUGCUGGACCCUUUCUGACGCUGAGGCGCGAAAGCCAGGGGAGCGAACGGGAUUAGAUACCCCGGUAGUCCUGGCCCUAAACGUUGAGAACUAGGUAGUGGACUUAACAUGGGUUCACUGUCGAAGCAAAAGUGCUAAGUUCUCCGCCUGGGGAGUAUGGUCGCAAGGCUG